CACAAUCAAUCAUCUAAGUUGAGUAUUUUUCUGCAACAAUGAUUUGAAUGUGUGAGACCUCUAUACUUUAGAGAUUAAAGAUAUUACCACAUAAUGCAGUUAUUGGUAGUUUUGAGCCUCUCUUAUCAGAAAUUACAUCAAUUAUAUCUCUCAAUGGUUACAUUUCUACCUGAAUUUGAGAUCCUUUGAUCAUGAAUCUGUACAAGUCAGAGAUAGAGAGAGAAAUCAUGCAUGGGAAAAUAGUGAGAAAUCGUAGGGACAGUAGUCUCGGGAAUCAGGCCGACGAAUGCUCCUGUAGUAAUAUCAAAGCAUGUGAACUAGAGUGCUCGUGAAAAUCUGAAAUGUUUGAGAGGUGGGUUCUUAAUGAAUUUCCCUCUCUUCUACAGUACCCUAAAGACACUGAAAUAUUCUCUCUCUUAAUUAUUCUGUGGACACCGGGCGCCUUCUCUCUCUCUUAAUUAUUCUGUGUGGACACCGGACGGCCCCCGGAGACGAAUGAGAGUGCGCCACGCUAUUUUUUUAUGUGUACCGGGUGACGUGACGCUCUCUCAUUCGUCUCCUAACGAUCCGAUGUCCGCACAAAAUAAUUUCUCCUUUCUCUCUCUAGGACUUGCAUGUUAAUGGAAUAAAUCUUUUAGACGGUAAGAUACAGUGAACUUCAUGUGGCAAGAGACUGCCAGGUUGAAACCUCCAUGUUACAGUGAUGUGGUUUUCUGUAAUGUCCACAGCUUGGACGUUCUGGUUACUGUACAUAUUUGUUAUGCAGUUAAAAAAAAAAAAAGAUAGUUUUUUUUUU
Dendrobium catenatum is the source of this 796-nucleotide long non-coding RNA. RefSeq lists it as uncharacterized. The record is from RefSeq and is a predicted model, not a curated record. NCBI's taxonomy places the organism in Eukaryota, Viridiplantae, Streptophyta, Magnoliopsida, Asparagales, Orchidaceae. The transcript has 2 exons.